CGCAUCUGUGCAUGCAGCAUAUCAAUAAGCGGAGGAAAAGGGAAUCGGUCGCCCCAGUACCUACGCUUAGGAUGUUGACACACGCGCGUGCUCGAUCUAUACAUGACUCUGUGCAUAUCAAUAAGCGGAGGAAAAGGCUGCAGAACUGAACGACCGCUACCUACGCUUAGGAUGUUGACGCGCGUGUGUGCGUGAGUCUAUACAUGACUCUGCGCAUAUCAAUAAGCGGAGGAAAAGGCUGCGGAACUGAACGACCGCUACCUACGCUUAGGAUGUUGACACACGCGCGUGCUCGAUGAUAGUCUAUACAUGACUCUGUGCAUAUCAAUAAGCGGAGGAAAAGGGAUGUCAUUACAGCGAAAUGAAGCUACCUACGCUUAGGAUGUUGACACACGCGCGUGCUCGACUCUAUACAUGACUCUGCGCAUAUCAAUAAGCGGAGGAAAAGGAGUAUACCUACCUUAGGAUGUUGACACACGCGCGUGCUCGACUCUAUACAUGACUCUGUGCAUGCAGCAUAUCAAUAAGCGGAGGAAAAGAAACUAACAAGGAUUCCCUUAGUAACGGCGAGUGAAGCGGGAAGAGCUCAAAUUUGAAAUCUUCAAGGUUUUACCUUGACGAAUUGUAGUUUAAAGAAGUGUUUUCUGUUGAAGUUUUGGUAAAAGUUCUUUGGAAUAGGACAUCAUAGAGGGUGAGAAUCCCGUAUUUGACCAUUAUUUUCAGCUGUGUGAUACACUUUCAAAGAGUCGGAUUGUUUGGGAAUGCAGUCCAAAAUGGGUGGUAAAUUUCAUCUAAAGCUAAAUAUUGGCGAGAGACCGAUAGCGAACAAGUACCGUGAGGGAAAGAUGAAAAGAACUUUGAAAAGAGAGUUAAACAGUACGUGAAAUUGUCAAAAGGGAAGCGUUUGACACCAGUGUUGUUUUCUCGAAAAUCAAUUAAAAAGAGUUAGAUUUUGUUGUGUAUUGACCUUAACAGCUUGCAUUUCAAUUUUCUUGCUUUUUUUAAUGCACUUUUCGUUUAACAAGUCAACAUCAGUUUCUUUUGUUGUAAAAAGGUCAUUGGAAGGUGGCUUUCUUUUCGGAGAAAGUGUUUAUAGCCUUUGACUCCUGCAAUCGGAGAGACUGAGGUCUGCAGCGUAGAUCCUUCGGGGUUAGAUACAUUUGUGCUAAGUUAUAGCUUUUUAUAGACAACUUGUUGACUAUGAUUAGUCUUGUAGCUUACUCGCUUAUGCUAUUUUACCUACGCUUAGGAUGUUGACACACGCGCGUGCUCG
Molecule: ribosomal RNA, 1273 nt
Filed under: uncultured Neocallimastigales
Lineage: Eukaryota; Fungi; Neocallimastigomycota; Neocallimastigomycetes; Neocallimastigales
Description: partial large subunit ribosomal RNA
Rfam family: Eukaryotic large subunit ribosomal RNA (bases 482-1273)
Source: RNAcentral